Molecule: long non-coding RNA, 608 nt
Organism: Cavia porcellus (domestic guinea pig)
Lineage: Eukaryota; Metazoa; Chordata; Mammalia; Rodentia; Caviidae
Exons: 5
Source: RefSeq, a predicted model, not a curated record
UUAAAACAUUUUUGUGGAAUCCCAAGCACGGCCUCUUUUGUAUCGUCUUGUGAUUCUGUGAUUCUGCACAUCCUGCUCUGUGGAGCUUCGCAGAUCUUGCUUUUCCUACGAUUCUGUUGCCACCUCUGUUCUGGGCACACAAGCGCGCUUACAGCUCAGAAUAGAUUCCAGCAUUUACCUGAUAGGUAAUCUCUUUCUGGAGCUGAUGUGGACAAUAAAAUUUCUCAUGUGGACCUCUGAGCUAGCACGGUACUAAGCUACAGUGAAUGAUGCCACAGUGAACACAGCAAUGCUGAUAUUUCUUCAGGAUCCAGAAGAAUGCACAGGUUUGCAAUAUUAAGAAUCAACUAUGCCUUUAAAGAGAAAGCAGAAGCAGUUCUUGUGGUUUAUGCGGACAACAGCUCAUCUUCAUGUGGAGAGGAAAAUCCUGGUUUUCACAGCGACCCACGACUACCCUUGACAUACUGUGGCUUGCAUCUGUAAUGAUUCACCAAACUGCUGUUAAAGACAAGACGUUACUCAGUGAACUUCAUGAUGCUGGUCUUGCUGAAGCAGGCAAAUACCUUCUACUUUGUUAAUGAUCUAUUUAAAUAAAAAAAUACUUGGCC